Trichosurus vulpecula (common brushtail) is the source of this 570-nucleotide non-coding RNA. The record is from the annotation of a RefSeq genome assembly. NCBI's taxonomy places the organism in Eukaryota, Metazoa, Chordata, Mammalia, Diprotodontia, Phalangeridae.
AUGAUUUCCCCCUGUCAGCUCCUCUGGCUCUUGGUGCUCUGGGCUCGGGAUUCCAAUGGGGCCAUUGUGCUGAUGCAGUCUCCAGCCUCCUUGUCCAGACCUCCAGGAGAGAGAGUCACCAUCAGCUGCAAGGCCAAUGAGAGUUUAAAAAUUUUUGGUUAUAGCUACUGUAAUUGGUACCAGCAGAAACCUGGCCAAGCCCCCAGGCUGCUCAUCUCCUUGGCUACCAGUCUGGCAUCAGGCGUACCUGCCCGGUUCACUGGCAGUGUGUCUGGGACAGAUUUCACUCUCACCAUCAGCAGCCUGGAGCCUGAGGAUGUUGGAGAUUAUUACUGUCAGCAGUCUACCAGCUUCCCUCCUUUUACAUUCAGUCCUGGAACAGCCUACAAACUAAUUCUCUUUAGAUUUGGUUUUCCUAUUAGUUCUGGCUACUGCAUUGCAUCUGGAGUGCCUGCCUGGUUCAUUGAUGAUGGGUCUGAGACAGAUUUCACUCUCACCAUCAGCAGCCUGGAGCCCGAAGAUGCUGGAGAUUUUUACUCUCAGCAGUCUAGGCUCUUCCAUUUCCCAUAG